Molecule: microRNA precursor, 76 nt
Organism: Dasypus novemcinctus (nine-banded armadillo)
Lineage: Eukaryota; Metazoa; Chordata; Mammalia; Cingulata; Dasypodidae
Source: Ensembl
GACCCUGGCCCUGGCCCUGGCCCUGACCCUGACCCUGACCCUGAUCCUGGCCCUGGCCCUGGCCCUGGCCCUGGCC